Molecule: ribosomal RNA, 380 nt
Filed under: uncultured cyanobacterium
Lineage: Bacteria; Bacillati; Cyanobacteriota
Description: bacterial SSU rRNA
Rfam family: Bacterial small subunit ribosomal RNA
Source: RNAcentral
CGAAAGCCUGACGGAGCAAUACCGCGUGAGGGAAGAAGGCUCUUGGGUUGUAAACCUCUUUUCUCAGGGAAUAAAAAAAUGAAGGUACCUGAGGAAUAAGCAUCGGCUAACUCCGUGCCAGCAGCCGCGGUAAUACGGAGGAUGCAAGCGUUAUCCGGAAUGAUUGGGCGUAAAGCGUCCGCAGGUGGUACAACAAGUCUAGUGUCAAAGACCGGGGCUCAACUCCGGGAUGGCGGUGGAAACUGUUGAACUAGAGGGUCGUAGGGGUAGAGGGAAUUCCCAGUGUAGCGGUGAAAUGCGUAGAGAUUGGGAAGAACAUCGGUGGCGAAGGCGCUCUACUGGACGGCAACUGACACUCAGGGACGAAAGCUAGGGGAGCG